Molecule: long non-coding RNA, 251 nt
Organism: Calidris pygmaea (Spoon-billed sandpiper)
Lineage: Eukaryota; Metazoa; Chordata; Aves; Charadriiformes; Scolopacidae
Source: Ensembl
UGAGCAUCCCUGCUGCUGAACUGUAGUAUACCUGAGAUGCAAGAAUGCUUCCCAAUGUUUGUGUUCAGGUGUUCUCCAGCCCCAUUCAUUCUCAUGUGCACUGCUGUGGGAGGAGGACAGCAGACAGGAUAUAUCAGCCUUGGAAGAGGAUUUCCUUACUGAUGGAGAAAGGUGUUUUCAGAGUUGCCAGUGAAGCAUGACACAAAGGGAUUUGUGCAGGGUAUGAUUACGCUGUGUUCAAAGCAAGGUAU